Molecule: ribosomal RNA, 450 nt
Filed under: uncultured Bacillota bacterium
Lineage: Bacteria; Bacillati; Bacillota
Description: bacterial SSU rRNA
Rfam family: Bacterial small subunit ribosomal RNA
Source: RNAcentral
GGACCCGCACAAGCGGUGGAGCAUGUGGUUUAAUUCGACGCAACGCGAAGAACCUUACCAGGGCUUGACAUCCCGUGACCGCCAUGGAAACAUGGUUUUCAGGCCUUCGGGCCUGACACGGAGACAGGUGGUGCAUGGUUGUCGUCAGCUCGUGUCGUGAGAUGUUGGGUUAAGUCCCGCAACGAGCGCAACCCCUAUUUUUAGUUGCCAGCGAGUAAAGUCGGGAACUCUAAAGAAACUGCCGGUGACAAACCGGAGGAAGGUGGGGACGACGUCAAAUCAUCAUGCCCUUUAUGUCCUGGGCUACACACGUGCUACAAUGGUCGGUACAGAGGGCAGCGAAACCGCGAGGUGGAGCGAAUCCCAAAAAGCCGAUCUCAGUUCGGAUUGCAGGCUGACAACCCGCCUGCAUGAAGUCGGAAUCGCUAGUAAUCGCGAGUCAGCAUAUCG